AUUAUAUUAAAAAGACUGCUCUUAGAACUUUCUGACUGCCAUUGUUUUGGGGAAAUAAGAAAUAAGAAUAAUAAGAAAUAAGAAUAAUUUCACCAAGUAUCUCACAAUGUGUAUAUUUAGAUUUUUUAAAGUCAGACACCAUUUUAAUCAGGAAAAUCACCUCCUUCUAAUGACAUACAGCGUACAGCGUCGCGCAGCAUGCAGCGUACUCUGCUGUCAUCGAUCGCUAGAUUAGAAAUAGUCAGAAAUUGCCUUUUUUUUCUCUACCUCUUUGUUAUGCGGACAUAAGCACACUUGGCACCAUAAAGGUUCUACAGUCUCUCCCAUUGGUGGUCUGGGCGCAGCUGGGGCAGAAGAGGAAGCCACCCCUGCUGGUCUAUGAGACUUUGUGCGACCUAACUGGCCUGGCGUGUUAAGGUGCCGUAUAAGUGAAGACUGAGCAGCUCUGUGGACAUGGCUGAAGGAUGUGUGUGGUCUGAUGAAGCUGAGGGGGAAGUUCCAGCUAAGAGGACAGGAUAACACUGCCAUGGGGGCCCGCAGAGAGCUGGAUGGAAUGGUCCACUCAAAGUGGGUGAGCGAUGGGGCUGAAGCGACCAAGAUGGGGCCACCUGAUGUCCCAGGUCUACAAGGAGAGAGGAAACAGUGGAUGGAGACGACAACAAGAAUGGCCCUGGCUGCCCUAGGACACCAUGUGGGAGAGCUGCUAGCUAGAAGGAAUUGGAGACCUUUAUGUUCAAGGGGACUUUGUUUGUUUUGAGUAAAUAUGGGGGGUUUAUUUAAAAAAGUGCUUUUGCUAACCGGUGUGUGAAACAUAAUAUUGCACGUGUGUCAUUUUGGGAGUUUGCCCAAAGGAGAACUCCAACUGCAUACUCAUGUCCUUUCUCAAAGAGAAAAAGGGUAUAAUGAAAUGAAGCAUUCUAAGUGAAUUGUGAAAACGAGUUGAGAAUGUGUUGAAACUUGAUUACAGAAACGAAACCAUGUCUUCUGAAAAUAAAUCUUGAAAUCUGU
Long non-coding RNA from Oncorhynchus mykiss (rainbow trout), 1008 nucleotides. RefSeq lists it as uncharacterized. The record is from RefSeq and is a predicted model, not a curated record. Lineage: Eukaryota; Metazoa; Chordata; Actinopteri; Salmoniformes; Salmonidae.